CCUACGGGUGGCAGCAGUGAGGAAUAUUGGUCAAUGGGCGAGAGCCUGAACCAGCCAAGUCGCGUGAGGGAGUACUGCCCUAUGGGUUGUAACCCUCUUUUGUCGGGGAGCAAAAGCCGGUCGUGUCCGGCUGUGCGAGUACCAGCAGCAACAGCAUCGGCUAACUCCGUGCCAGCAGCCGCGGUAAUCCGGAGGGUGCGAGCGUUAAUCGGAAUUACUGGGGGUAAAGCGCUCGUAGGCGGGAUGUCAAGUCAAGGGUGAAAUCCCCGGGCUCAACGUGGGAACUGCCUUUGAAACUGGCAAACUGGAGUGUGUGAGAGGAUAGUGGAAUUCCAGGUGUAGGAGUGAAAUCCGUAGAUAUCUGGAGGAACAUCAGUGGCGAAGGCGACUAACUGGCACAUAAAUGACGCUGAGGAGCGAAAGCGUGGGUAGCAAACAGGAUUAGAUACCCCUGUAGUC
RNAcentral lists this ribosomal RNA (459 nucleotides) under uncultured bacterium. RNAcentral's name for it is "partial 16S ribosomal RNA". It matches the Rfam family "Bacterial small subunit ribosomal RNA", at positions 338 to 795 of the family's 1533-position model. The record is from RNAcentral.